CUGUUUUAACAUCAAAUAAUCCCAGGAAGGUUGUGAUGAAGGAAAACAUAGAAGAUGGCAUAGAAAGGAAGAACAUGAAAGGAGAAGCAAGUAGUUGAGAUUCAAGAAAGCUUAUUAAAUUGUUUUCGAGUAAUUAUAUUGAUCUCAUCGAUUGCUCAUGAUUUUCUGUGCUUUUGUCAUCUGGAUGUUGCUUCUCUAGACUUGAACUUGUUUUACUGGAACAGUACAUCUUGGUAAAUUGUUGGCCUGGAACAGUACAUCUUGGAGCUUAUGAUGAAGAAAAAUCUGCAGCAAGAGCAUAUGAUU
RNAcentral lists this unclassified non-coding RNA (306 nucleotides) under Hevea brasiliensis (rubber tree). Lineage: Eukaryota; Viridiplantae; Streptophyta; Magnoliopsida; Malpighiales; Euphorbiaceae. The record is from RNAcentral.